RNAcentral lists this ribosomal RNA (253 nucleotides) under uncultured prokaryote. Its description in RNAcentral is "partial 16S ribosomal RNA". It matches the Rfam family "Bacterial small subunit ribosomal RNA", at positions 524 to 776 of the family's 1533-position model. The record is from RNAcentral.
ACCGUAGGAGACAAACGUUCUCCGUCUUUCCUUUUCUUCCCUUUCUUUCAGGUGGUCUGUUAAGUUCGGCGUGAAAGCGCCCGGCUAAACCGGGCGAGGUCGUCGGAGACUGGCGGACUAGAGGACGGUAGAGGCGGGUGGAAUUCCGGGUGUAGUGGUGAAAUGCGUAGAGAUCCGGAGGAACACCAGUGGCGAAGGCGACCCGCUGGGCCGUACCUGACACUAAUACGCGACAGCAUGGGGAGCGAACGGG